Molecule: long non-coding RNA, 1383 nt
Filed under: Cyanistes caeruleus (blue tit)
Lineage: Eukaryota; Metazoa; Chordata; Aves; Passeriformes; Paridae
Description: lncRNA (ENSCCEG00000009855.1)
Source: RNAcentral
UUGUUUUCAGGUAUAUGGAAACUGGGAAAUAAAAUCCUAAGAAAAAAAUGCAAGAUAUUAAUACAAACACAGAAGAAUAUAGUACUUCUUUAUAUAUCUUAAACGUCUAUCUUUCCUGUAGUCUUUUGCUUGAUAUUCUUCUCAAGCAAGAGAACUAUGCCUCUGCCAGAAUCAGUCCAGAUUUAAAGGUUCUUUCUGGUGAUCACACUUCAGUCCUACUUAAUCCUCUACGCUCUAGUGAAUUCAAUUUCUGGAGUAGGAUUUGGAGUUUCAGAUAUUACAAGGUUCCCUUGUCUGAAAUCAGCAAAGGAAAUGUCUGCCACAAAAGAAGAAAUAGCUUUCAUGCACUUUUUCUUUUCUUAGUAUCAGCUAUGUAUAUCUAAAAAUUAUAAACACUGCAUAAUCCAUGCUAUAGUUCUUUCCUUCCCUCCUCUGCUUCCUUAGUACUAAAAGAAAGGUUAUCUCUUGCCUACUGAGAUUAUAUGUUUAUCAGUCUACAUUUUAUUUGGAUUAAUAUAGAUGUGGCUUUCUUCCUUUGAUUACAAGAGAUGUGCAGCCUGCUGUUUGUUUUGAUUCAUCCUUUCCCUCUGUUCACUGCAAAGGUCUGAAUCUUAUCAUUUACCUUCCAUACUAAUGUAGCAGCUUUUCAGCCUAGUAAUCAAAUACUUGACUGAACAUGGUGUAUUCUUGUCUGUAUCUUACAUGAAAUAUAAAAAACUGCAAAACUACAGGCCAAGCAAAUCUUUCACACUGUUAAUUCUUAUCAGCAACUACAGAUCUUUAUAAGACUGAGUCCUGCACUCAGAAUCACACACUGAAAAUGAAAGCACCAGUUAAUGCAUUUUUCAGUUUUUACUGUGAAUGAAGAAAAUAAUAGCCAAUAUACUUCAAAGAUUCACAUUGUCAAAGAUCAGCAGAAAUUUUUAUGUCCAGCUGAUAAGGAACAGAAAAAUCUACCUUUUAACUUUGAAAUUAAUUUGAGGACCUACAUCUUCUCUCUGCUCUUUUGUUAUUACAUUAAAAAAAGAAGCAGUUCAAGAAUGAAUCUUUGUAAUGAAAUAGCUCCAGUAAUUUCUUAAGCCAGAAGUAUCAUUUUCAAACACAUCUAAAUGAUUUAGAAAUUAUAUCAAAUUUCACUUACAGAUUUAAGGUUAAAGGAAGUUUUAAAAAGUGGUUUAGAUACCUCUGAGACUAUGAAAAUCCCAGAGGCUAGUGGAAUUAAAUCUUAUGUAUCUCAAUAUUCAAAUCACUCAUUGAAAUGUUUAUAAAGAAUUUACCUUUUUUUUUCUUCUAGUAUACUUCAGUUAUAUUUAAAAUAUUGUUCUAUAUUGGUCAUUAUUUCUGAGAAUUGUGUUGGGGGGUUUUUAUGCAUUUCCUAUCAAA